Molecule: long non-coding RNA, 998 nt
Filed under: Ornithorhynchus anatinus (platypus)
Lineage: Eukaryota; Metazoa; Chordata; Mammalia; Monotremata; Ornithorhynchidae
Description: lncRNA (ENSOANG00000038111.1)
Source: RNAcentral
UGUCAACCAGGCCCCCUCCGCCCCCCCCCCGGGACCCAAGAGCCCGGGCCCGCCCCUGCCCGGCCCUGCCCUGCCCCCGCCCCGCACGGCCCCGCAGCCGGGCCGGAGGGUCGGCAAGGGAACCAGCUGCCAGCCGGGGGGUUGGAAGCUCCGCUCUGCAGCCAGUGGAGAAACCUGGGGCCGGCGCAGGAGCGGUGGAAGCUGCUGGGGCUGACGAAGAGAGAAGGCAAAGAUGCUGCUGGAGAGAAGCAAGAGCAGAGGCAGAGGCUGCAUACAGAACACACAGAAAGAAGACGGGGAGGGAAUGAGCCCGGCGGCAGCAAGAAGAAGGAAGCUCUCCACCGGUCCCGGCCGGGCCAGAAAAUGAGGCCCAAGCGAGCCCCGGAGGCCCGUGGUCCCAGCCGGGCAAUGCCAGGCCCCCCGAGGGCGGCCCCUUCGCCUCCUGGACCCUGAACCUCUCCAUCUCCACAGGUGCCCAGCAGGAGACCACUACCUGGGAUUGGGUGGGAGAGCCAGCGGAACUGGGGUUUUGGAUCCUCACCUCCCGGGCCUGUCCUGCAAAGGAUGACCAGACUACCUGCCUGUUGUCCCUUGGAGGAGCCUGAGGCUGGUGUUCAGAGGAGCAUGGGUCGAGAGGGUGCUGGGGAGGGGGAGAGAGGCCUGGAAAGGGGUCCCAGCUGUUGCCGAGGCCCUUUAAACUAUUUUUUAUUUAUUUAUGUUCAUUCAUUCAUUCAAUAGUAUUUAUUGAGUGCUUACUAUGUGCAGAGCACUGUACUAAACGCUUGGAAUCUACAAAUUGGUAACAGAUAGAGACAGUCCCUGCCCUUUGACGGGCUUACAGUCUAAUCGGGGGAGACGGACAGACAAGAACAAUAGCAAUAAAUUGAAUCAAGAUAGCAAUAAAUUUGUAAAGUGCUUACUAUAUGCCCGGCACAGUUCUAAGCACUGGGGUAGGUACAAGCUAAUUGGGUUGCACACAGUCCCUGUCUCCCAUGGGG